Molecule: ribosomal RNA, 159 nt
Filed under: Enterococcus faecium
Lineage: Bacteria; Bacillati; Bacillota; Bacilli; Lactobacillales; Enterococcaceae
Description: partial 16S ribosomal RNA
Rfam family: Bacterial small subunit ribosomal RNA
Source: RNAcentral
GUACACACCGCCCGUCACACCACGAGAGUUUGUAACACCCGAAGUCGGUGAGGUAACCUUUUGGAGCCAGCCGCCUAAGGUGGGAUAGAUGAUUGGGGUGAAGUCGUAACAAGGUAGCCGUAUCGGAAGGUGCGGCUGGAUCACCUCCUUUCUAAGGAA